Molecule: long non-coding RNA, 2018 nt
Filed under: Nicotiana tabacum (common tobacco)
Lineage: Eukaryota; Viridiplantae; Streptophyta; Magnoliopsida; Solanales; Solanaceae
Description: long non-coding RNA (NTAB_LNC013214)
Source: RNAcentral
AGGGUGAGGGUUUAGUAAGUGUUGUGAUUUAUUGGAAGAAUUGAAUUAGUGGAAGAUUUCCAUUGGUAUGAUGUGUAUUCGACUUAUGAUUUAGAGUUGAGGGUGAGACCCUCGCGAUUCCAUGUGAUUUGAUAUGUUUGAACCAGGCUGAGUACCGCAGUGGAAGUUAUAUCAGGAUGGGACCCUUGUGAUUGUUCAUAUGCUUUAAUUAUUUCCUUGUUAUAUUGUUUUGUAGGUUAGUAUUGAUAGAGAGUUGUGCAUGUCGGGCUUGUUUGGUAGUUUUCUUUUGUGUUUCUAUUUUCAUAUUCAGUCAAUUUUGUUCGGUGCUUCUUGAGUUUUAGCUUACGGGGUGUGUACCUGGUGGUGUUAGUUGUGACUUGUUGAUUCGGGUGUAUAGUUAAGAGGUCUUCGUGUUUCUUGCAUCGUUUCCAGUGUUGUGGAGAUUUGAACAGGGUUCUAACAUAUAUGAGGCUAAUUACCGGUGAUGGUUUUGAUUACGGGCAACUAUUAUGAUCAGAAAUGUUAUUAUGGGCCUAUGUGUGGUGUGUCUUAUUGUGUGGUCGUACCUUGUGGGUGUAGGCAUGAGUUGUUACAGCUGGUUAAGACUGAUAUCGGUUAUGGAUUUAGAAUCGGGUCUUUUGAAGACAAAUAGAAGGUGAGAAUUUUGACUCUAAGGCUUAUCGGUGUUGAUAGAAAGGAUAAAUUACAGUUGGGAUGAUGUCGUUAGGCUUAUGUGGAUUGGGGUGACGUGGGGUCCCCACGCGGGUGUAUAUUGAAUAUGUGCUUUUAGUGAUUGAAGACUUCGAGGCGAUUCUUAGCACGUUCGAGUACGAACGUUUGUUUAAGAGGGGAAGGAUGUAACGACCCGGUCGGUCGUUUUGAGAAUUUAAAUCCCGUCCGGCGGCAUAAGGCCCUGAAUAGCUUCGUAUUAUGUGUAUUGACUUGCGUGCAUGGUUGAAUUCGGUUACCGGAUGUUUCAGAGUGAUUUGGGACACUUAGUCCCUAAAACGGAAGCUUAAGUGUUAGGAUUUUUGACCGUAGUCGGAACUAUGUGAAGACGACUCCGGAAUGGAGUUCCAUCGGUUCCAUUAGCUCCGAUGGGUGAUUUUGGACUUAGGAGCGUGUCCGGACUGUAAAUCCGAGGCGUGUAGCUGAUUUAGGCUUGAAAUGGCGAAAGUUGAAUUUUUGGAUAUUUGGACCGGAAGUGGACUUUUUGAUAUCGGGGUCGGAAUGCGAUUCCGAGAGUUGGAACAGCUUCGUUAUAUUAUUUGGGACUUUUCUGCAAAAUUUGACGUCAUUCCGGGUUGAUUUGAUAGGUUUCGGUGCGGGUUUUAGUAGUUGAAAGAUUUGAAGUUCGAUUCAUGGUGCGAUUCGUAGUUUCAACAUUGUUUGAUGUGAUUUGAGACCUCGAGCGGGUCCGUGUUAGGGUAUAGAAUUUGUUGGUAUGUUUGGACAGGGUCCCGAGGACCCCGGGUGUUUUUCGGACGAGUUGCGGAUGAUUUCCAUGGUUUUGGGAGAGGUCUGAGUUCUGGUGUAAUCGCACCUCCGGACCUUCGGUGUAGGUGUGAAGAUGGAGGCGCAGGUGCGAGAAGAGCUGGACUUGGCAGUCUCCGCAGGUGCGGAGAAUUUGUGCGUAUCAGCGGACUCGCACGUGCGGAGAUGGAAGCACAGAUGCGAGAAUUGAAAGUUGGCCUAGGCUUGCAGGUGCGAGGAAGUUCCGCAUUUGCGAUGCCCGCGGAUACGCAGAAGGCUCGCAUGUGCGGAGACUGUGGGAGUUAGUGACUUCCGCUGGUGCGACUGAUUAGACCGCAGGUGCGGUAGGCGCAGGUGCGAGAAAUGGUCGCAGGUGCGAGAAUCGCUGGGCAGAAAGGGGUUGGAAUCCAGGGUUAGUUCAUUUUCACUCCAUUUUUUAUUUUUAGCUCGGGAGAAGGCGAUUCUUUGAGGUAUUUUCAGAGGAAUCUUGUGGGUAACGAUUUUUUUACUCGAAUUUGGUUUUAUUGCAUUAAUCUAUAGUUGUU